CCUACGGGAGGCAGCAGUAGGGAAUCUUUCACAAUGGGCGAAAGCCUGAAGGAGCAACGCCGCGUGAAGGAUGAAGGCCCUCGGGUUGUAAACUGCUUUUAUACACGAGAAAUAUGAGGGUAACUUAUGACUAAGGAUCGGCUAACUACGUGCCAGCAGCCGCGGUCAUACGUAGGAGCCGAGCAUUAUCCGGAGGGACUGGGUGUAAAGAGUUGCGUAGAGGGGAUAAUGAGUAGCUAGUGAAAACUGGUGGCUCAACAAUUCAGACUAUUAGCUAAACUGUUAAGCUCGAGACCGUUAGAGGUAACUGGAAUUUCUGGUGUAGGGGUGAAAUCCAUAGAUAUUA
This 346-nucleotide ribosomal RNA is filed under the name uncultured bacterium. RNAcentral describes it as "partial 16S ribosomal RNA". It matches the Rfam family "Bacterial small subunit ribosomal RNA", at positions 338 to 699 of the family's 1533-position model. The record is from RNAcentral.